This 274-nucleotide unclassified non-coding RNA is filed under the name fungal sp. RNAcentral describes it as "partial contains internal transcribed spacer 1". The record is from RNAcentral. Lineage: Eukaryota; Fungi.
AAGUCGUAACAAGGUUUUGCUAAGCAACAGUCCUUCUGUAGCAGAGCUUAACGGAGACCUUGCACCCGAGAGGGGGAGGCGACUAUAAAUAAGCUUCAGCGCAAGUCAGCACUGCUGGCAACACAAUCGAAUUGCGGGGACGCUUUAAAGCCUACCGGUACCAACCACUCUUACGGGGUGGGGCGAGCACGCUCGAGGUCACAAUCUGGUAGGAUGCCACAAUAAGCAAUCCGCAGCGGUGCGAGCCGUCCACAGACUAAGUGGUUGUGGGUAG